This 490-nucleotide ribosomal RNA is filed under the name uncultured bacterium. Its description in RNAcentral is "bacterial SSU rRNA". It matches the Rfam family "Bacterial small subunit ribosomal RNA", at positions 28 to 507 of the family's 1533-position model. The record is from RNAcentral.
GAUGAACGCUAGCGAUAGGCCUAACACAUGCAAGUCGAGGGGCAUCACAUGAAGUAGCAAUACGGAUGGUGGCGACCGGCGCACGGGUGAGUAACACGUAUGCAACCUGCCUUCAACAAGGGGAUAACCCGUUGAAAGACGGACUAAUACCCUAUAACACAGGGGUCCCGCAUGGGAAUAUUUGUUAAAGGACAACCGGUUGAAGAUGGGCAUGCGUUCCAUUAGCUAGUUGGCGGGGUAACGGCCCACCAAGGCAACGAUGGAUAGGGGGAACUGAGAGGUUUAUCCCCCACACUGGUACUGAGACACGGACCAGACUCCUACGGGAGGCAGCAGUGAGGAAUAUUGGUCAAUGGACGCAAGUCUGAACCAGCCACGUCGCGUGAAGGAAGACGGCCCUACGGGUUGUAAACUUCUUUUAACGGGAAUAAAGUGCCCCACGCGUGGGGUUUUGCAUGUACCGUAUGAAUAAGGAUCGGCUAACUCCGUG